GUCCACGCCCUAAACGAUGGGUACUAGACGUUGGGAGGUUUAUCCUCUUGGUGUCGCAGCUAACGCAAUAAGUACCCCGCCUGGGGAGUACGGUCGCAAGAUUAAAACUCAAAGGAAUUGACGGGGGCCCGCACAAGCGGUGGAGCAUGUGGUUUAAUUCGAUGCAACGCGAAAACCUUACCUGCCCUUGACAUCUAGAGAACCCUGCAGAGAUGCGGGGGUGCCUUCGGGGAACUCUAAGACAGGUGCUGCAUGGCUGUCGU
This 263-nucleotide ribosomal RNA is filed under the name uncultured bacterium. Its description in RNAcentral is "partial 16S ribosomal RNA". It matches the Rfam family "Bacterial small subunit ribosomal RNA", at positions 793 to 1055 of the family's 1533-position model. The record is from RNAcentral.